Molecule: long non-coding RNA, 235 nt
Filed under: Homo sapiens (human)
Lineage: Eukaryota; Metazoa; Chordata; Mammalia; Primates; Hominidae
Description: HSALNT0402870
Source: RNAcentral
GGCUGGUCUGACCUCAGCACCCCUUAGUCUGCUUGCCUCUCCCAGGACGCCUGCACAUUACCUCUCCAUACUGCAGCCCUUUAUAUGGAAACUUCCUACAUCACUUUGCUGUGUGUGUUUACACAGGUGGGUUUUGUUGUACUUGCCCUAACAGCAUAUGGGAAUGCAGCACACACCCCAACCCACACCAACUGCCACUGAAGAUGAAGCCAUGGUGGGCACAGAACCAAAAACC